RNAcentral lists this ribosomal RNA (467 nucleotides) under uncultured bacterium. RNAcentral describes it as "partial 16S ribosomal RNA". It matches the Rfam family "Bacterial small subunit ribosomal RNA", at positions 28 to 507 of the family's 1533-position model. The record is from RNAcentral.
GACGAACGCUGGCGGCGUGCUUAACACAUGCAAGUCGAACGGAAAGGCCCUGCUUUUGUGGGGUGCUCGAGUGGCGAACGGGUGAGUAACACGUGAGUAACCUGCCCUUGACUUUGGGAUAACUUCAGGAAACUGGGGCUAAUACCGGAUAGGAGCUCCUGCUGCAUGGUGGGGGUUGGAAAGUUUCGGCGGUUGGGAUGGACUCGCGGCUUAUCAGCUUGUUGGUGGGGUAGUGGCUUACCAAGGCUUUGACGGGUAGCCGGCCUGAGAGGGUGACCGGCCACUUUGGGACUGAGAUACGGCCCAGACUCCUACGGGAGGCAGCAGUGGGGAAUAUUGCACAAUGGGCGGAAGCCUGAUGCAGCAACGCCGCGUGCGGGAUGACGGCCUUCGGGUUGUAAACCGCUUUCGCCUGUGACGAAGCGUGAGUGACGGUAAUGGGUAAAGAAGCACCGGCUAACUACGUG